This 495-nucleotide ribosomal RNA is filed under the name uncultured bacterium. RNAcentral describes it as "partial 16S ribosomal RNA". It matches the Rfam family "Bacterial small subunit ribosomal RNA", at positions 28 to 507 of the family's 1533-position model. The record is from RNAcentral.
GAUGAACGCUGGCGGCGUGCCUAAUACAUGCAAGUCGAGCGAACGGACGAGAAGCUUGCUUCUCUGAUGUUAGCGGCGGACGGGUGAGUAACACGUGGAUAACCUACCUAUAAGACUGGGAUAACUUCGGGAAACCGGAGCUAAUACCGGAUAAUAUUUUGAACCGCAUGGUUCAAAAGUGAAAGACGGUCUUGCUGUCACUUAUAGAUGGAUCCGCGCUGCAUUAGCUAGUUGGUAAGGUAACGGCUUACCAAGGCAACGAUGCAUAGCCGACCUGAGAGGGUGAUCGGACACACUGGAACUGAGACACGGUCCAGACUUCUAGGGGGGGCAGCAGUAGGGAAUCUUCCGCAAUGGGCGAAAGCCUGACGGAGCAACGCCGCGUGAGUGAUGAAGGUCUUCGGAUCGUAAAACUCUGUUAUUAGGGAAGAACAUAUGUGUGUAACUGUGCACAUCUUGACGGUACCUAAUCAGAAAGCCACGGCUAACUACGUG